RNAcentral lists this long non-coding RNA (628 nucleotides) under Populus trichocarpa (black cottonwood). RNAcentral's name for it is "long non-coding RNA (PTRI_LNC000399)". Lineage: Eukaryota; Viridiplantae; Streptophyta; Magnoliopsida; Malpighiales; Salicaceae. The record is from RNAcentral.
AACAAGCUAAAGAUUUUCCUUAAUUUGUCAACUCCACAGAUAUCGACUCAACUACUAAUACCUUGAAUCUUUCUUCUCUCCCAGCUUAUAAAUAGCUAGCAAUAUUCCACCUAUGGUACACAUCCUCUCUGCUACAGAUAUAUAGCCUGGAUUUAAUUCUUUUUGUAGCAUAUUUUACAUAAAUGGCUCGUUUAAGCACAGUCCCGUUCAUCUUCUUUCUCAUUUUGAUUUGUCACGCACAGUCUUUUGAAGCCAGAAAGUUCUUGAGCUUGGAGAAGAACGAAAACCCUUCUUUGAAAGACAAUACUACGCCAUCUUACUAUCGUGUUAGUGAAGGCCAUGCAAUAGUUAUCGAUACAGGGUUCAUCAUUUCCCACCUUUCCAAGAUCGAUCGAAUUUUGCGUUCCGCCCCCAGUCCUGGAACAGGAAACUAGAUUAUAUCACUUUUGUAUCACAUCAUAUAUAUAUGUGUGUGGGUGUGGGUGGGUGGGUGGGUGUGAAAAAUUGCAUUUUAAAUUGCAACUUUCAGUAUGUAUAUAUGUUCGCAGAAUAUAUUUUAGGUUUGAAUAAAAAGUUGCUCAUUUGGCCGUUAGUAUAGCUUGUAUUCUUGCGUUAGUUUCUCUCCUUA